CUCCCUUUGUUCCUCGCGACAACCGAGUCGGGUCGAGCGGGAGACGCCCGGGACUUGGGUGGACGCGGGUAGCGAGUGACACUCGGCCACCGGUCGCGGCGAAGUUCGCUUCAAACCGCGCACGACUCCGUACAGCCUCGUGUAUCUCUGUGUCUGUCUGUGUGUCUGUCUGUGUGUGUCUCUGCGUGUGUCUCCCCGUGUCUGUGUGUCUCUGCGUGUGUCUCCGCGUGUCUGUGUGUCUCUGCGUGUGUCUGUGUGUGUCUCUGCGUGUCUGUGUGUCUCUGCGUGUGUCUGUGUGUGUCUCUGUGUGUAUCUCUGUGUCUGUCUGUGUAUGCAUGUGUGUGUUUCUGCGUGUGUCUGUGUGUCUCUGCGUGUGCCUCCGCGUGUCGUUGUGUCUCUGCAUGUGUCUGUGUGUGUCUCUGCGUGUUUCUCCGCGUGUCGUUGUGUCUCUGCGUGUGUCUGUGUGUCUCUGCGCGUUGCUGGUAUUCAGGAGGUCCGGUGGACUGGCUCUGGCUCCUGCCACCAUGAGGGAUGGACAGUCCUCUACUCGGGGAAGGAGACUGCCAAACAACAGGGAGUGGUUCUUAUUCUGAACAAAAGAAUGAAGGGGGCGUGGGAGCUUGGCGGUGAGGAGUGGGAAGCUGAAAGCCCCAGGCUACUUUGGGCUCGCCUUUCCAUCAACCAGAGGCGAGGAGUGGUGGUCGUGGUUACUUACGCCCCCACCGACGAUGAACAUCAGUGGAGGGAUGCAGGCAAGGUCGAUGAGUCAGAUGCCUUCUAUGACUUCCUGUCACAGGUGCUAGAUAAAGUGGCCAUUCGGGAUAGUCAUCCUGUUGGGCGACUCUAAUGCCCAAGUUGGUAAUGAUGCUGGCACCUGGUCUGGAGUGAUUGGAAGGCAUGAGCCAGAUCAGCUCAAUAACAACGGUAGGAGGCUGCCAGACGUUUGUGCAGCCCAUGGGCUUGUAAUUACCAACACGCUGUUCUUGCAUCGGCGCAUCCACACAACAUCAUGGAUGCAUGCCGGGUCCAAGCAAGAACAUCUGCUGGACUCCAUAGUGAUAGAACAGCGGAUGCAGGCCCAUGUCCUUGACAACAAGAUCUACCGUGGAGCUGAUCUGCCCACUGACCAUCGGCUUGUCAUCUGUAAGAUGUGCCUGCCAUUCUUCCAUUCCCGUUGUGGGUGUACAUCCAGGACCCCAUUGAAACCCAAAGUGGCCUGGUCUCAGCUAGCUGAUGAAAGUUGAAAGCGAGAAUUUCAUCAUCGCUUGCAGCUAGGGUUGGCAUCGUCCCCCACUCCUCUUGAUGUCGAGGGGAAAUGGGCGAGGUUUAGGACUGUGGCACAUGCAGAUGCAAUGGCUGCUUUGGGUACGCGGUCCAGACCUCCCCAGCGACCCUGGCUGACAGAGGAGGUGUUCAGGUUAGCUGAGAAAAAGCGACAAGCCGGCCCACUCUCACUGUCUACAGCAUCCCACGUCAGAGAAUGAGGAGGCUUACCGCAGCCUCCGCUCGGAGGUACGGAGAGCCGUGCGGCGUUGCAAGGAUGGGUGGUGGUCGCGGGUUGCUGAGAUGGGGUCUGCCUCGGUAGCCUCCGAUCACAAAUCACUCUUGAAUUCCAUCACAAAGUGACUUGCAGCGCCACACCUACAUCACGGAGCAAGUGGAAAACAUCGUGGAACAAAAUAGGGAUGACCCUGCUGAGGCUGCGGUGCCACAAAUAUAGGAAGAGGAAGUCACCCCCUGUGAGUGGUUGGCUGAGGUGCCAUCUGUUGAGGAAGUACUGAAGGCGAUCUAGAGUCUGAGAUCAGUAAAGGCACCGGGCAGAGAUGAUCUCCCAAGCGAAAUGCUGAGGGAGGGUGGCGUUUGUGCACAGACUGCACUACAUGACAUCAUAACAACAGUCUGGAUCACUGGACGGGUUCCACAGGAUUGGAAGGAUGCCCUGGUGGUCCCCCUCUUUAAGAAGACCGCACAGACUGUAACAACUACAGGGGCAUCUCACUCCUCAGUAUGCCGGGAAAGGUCCUGGCAAGGAUUAUUCAACAUCGCCUUGCCAGGUAUGCUCAAAAGAGGCUUGUGGAGCUCCAAUGUGGUUUCAGGAAAGGGCGGUCCUGCACAGAUGCCAUAUUUUCUGUCCGUCUGUUACAGCAGAUGUGUAGGGAAUUCCAACUCGACUUACAUCUCUGCUUUAUUGACCUGGUCAAUACCUUUUGGAGUUCCUGACCCUCUGCUCACGGUCAUUAAGGACCUUCAUGAUAGUGAGCGGGCCCGGGUAAAACUACGUGGCCGGGAAUCGGAGCCAUUCCUUGUUCACCUUGGGGUGCGACAGGGAUGUCCUCUGGCUCCCACAUUAUAUAACAUCUAUUUCGAUCACGUAGUUCGUGCAGCCUUCAAUAGCUGUAACGAAUGAAUUUAUAUCUGGUACAGAUACAAUGGUAGGCUGAUCGAUACCCGGGUGCGGUCAAGGGAUGGCUCCCUAUUGCUCAACCAUGUUAUGUAUGCCGAUGAUCUGGUAAUUGCUGCUCAUUCAGAAGAGGAGUUGGAGGCGCUGCUGCUGAACCUGGAGCGUGCCACUAAGAGGUGGGGCCUUACCAUCAGCCCCACUAAAACUAAGCACCUGCCUGGGUAUUUUGUACCAUGGGACACUCCACCCCCACAACUCCCAAUUGGUGCUGGGGCAGUUGUGGAGAGAGUGGAGAGUAUCCCAUACCUGGGCAGUGUGCUUAUGACGGGCUCCAGUUUAACAGCAGAGGUCUUACUCCAAAUCAGUCGAGCGGCAAUAUAUUUUCAUCGGUUGCGUAACGCUGUGUGGAAACUACCUGGUCUAUCGCUCCGCACGAAGCUUCACGUCUUCUCGGCCACGGUCAUUCCCUCCCUUCUCUACGCUUGCGAAACGUGGACCCCCCUUAUGGAACAUCUUCAUCGGUUAGAAACAUUUAGGCUGGCCUGCCUACGAUCCAUUCUGGUUUAAACCAGGCUGGAUUGUGUGAGGAGCUCACAAAUUCUUGAAAGAUCUGGGCAAAGUCCCAUCGGUGAGCUCCUCCGGCAGGCAAGGCUGCGUUGGCUGGGUCAUGUAGCCCGCAUGCCCAGCCACCGCAUGCCUAAACAGCUUUUGUUCGGUCGGAUCGAGGAGGCUAAAUGGGCGCGGUACGGGCUAGAGAAGAGAUCGAGUGAUGUGGUACAGGAGGACGUGGAGCUGAGUGGACUUGUCGAUGACUGGUACCAGCGGUGUCAAGAUCGGCCUCUGUGGAGGAGGCUCGUGAAAGACGCUACUGGGCAGUUGGAGGCAGUCGCCCUCCAACAACAACGGAGGGCGGAGGAGCGACGCUCACAACAACGAGAGGAGCGCCGGGUGGCUAAAGCACAGCAAGUUGGCACAAUAGGGGGCACAGGUGGUGCAUCAGCCAGUCAUCUCGUUCAUCUCAGUCAGUCGACCCGUGGCACCUGGGUCUGCCUCGUGACCUCCUGCCAGCGGGCGUUCGACACUUCACGUGGCCUUAAGGUGCACAUGGCCUGGCACAAGCGUCGUGGUGACGUCACCGCCACUUAGUGGCGAAUGGCGGUUGUUGUUGUGAUGAUGCUGUGUGUGUGCGAUUGUUCCUCGUGUUGUUGUUUCUUGUUCCAACCCGAGGUCUCGGGUUAUGAUGGGAGACAGCAACCUGACCCUGACCCCUCCCCAACCCCCCCAACCCAGCAGCAGCAGCAGUGGGGGGGGGGGGGAUGCAGCAGCAUUGGACCUCUUACACAACUCUCUCGUGUUUUGUAACGAGCGUCAUUGCGAGAAGAGACGGAGACAGAGAGAGGAGCGCAGCGAGCGACUUCACGACUGGCGUAGAGCUGCGUGUGGACCCGUCUCAACGUCGUCUCGGUCAUCAGCAGCAUCAUCAGCUGCAGCAUCAUCAGCGGGAGUAGAACGACUUAAAUUGAUUCUCACACCGGAGAUUUCAACAAGGCCGCUGUGUGAUGGGUGCCCCACGCGCCGUUCGUGCCGCGCUGCCGGUUCUGUCUCUCGUCUCCUUCGUCAUCAUGAUCAUCUUCAACAUAGCAGCUGCCACCGGCUUCACUAAAGGUGACCCCGCACUGAUGACC
Molecule: long non-coding RNA, 4086 nt
Organism: Lethenteron reissneri (Far Eastern brook lamprey)
Lineage: Eukaryota; Metazoa; Chordata; Hyperoartia; Petromyzontiformes; Petromyzontidae
Source: RefSeq, a predicted model, not a curated record